This is a long non-coding RNA of Cucurbita maxima (winter squash), 812 nucleotides long. RefSeq lists it as uncharacterized. The transcript is spliced from 3 exons. Lineage: Eukaryota; Viridiplantae; Streptophyta; Magnoliopsida; Cucurbitales; Cucurbitaceae. The record is from RefSeq and is a predicted model, not a curated record.
GACAGGACGGAGAGGUUGUACGAACAAAAACAGCUGAAUCGGCUACCCAUAAAUGAUCAUAAGCUGACAAGGUUAGGUUCCCCUACCCAUUUAGCCCUGAAUUAGAGUGCAAAACCGUUCAAAUGUUGGAUGAAAAAUCACUAUCUGAGUAAGAACAUUGCAAUGGUUUCUGUAGUUCGAUGAUUCUAUAUGUGAUCAACCAAAAUCAAAUACGAGCCGUCAAUCCAAUGCGGCAUUCCGAUCAAAAUCUGGACAAAACCAGAGUGGUCUGCUGCGUCGGCGACUUCCAUGGCUACUUACUCCAGAUUUCAACGCCGCCCACAUAAUUUUCUUGGCGAUUAGUGCGACAGGGGACCAAAUACCCGAGAAGUAAUCGAUUUCUUGGUCGGUUUACCCUCCAGAUACCCAAAGCAGAAGCACGUUUUCAACGGCGGGAAUCACGAUUUGGUGCCUGAUUGUGAGGGUUCCAUUUUGGAUGCUGGACCGACAUUUGAAUCCCAUGGUGUUCCUCAUGGAUCUGCUGGAUGUAGGUGAGGAGCCAACCAUUGUUGUAAGUGGACACCAUGGAAAGCUUCAUCAAGGUCACCUCACACUAAUAAUAUGAAACAACAAUCAUCAAGGUAACGACAAGAACGUAUUGGGCAAGUGGCGGGAUGUGUGCUAAUUUAGUCAUGAGGAUCGUAUCAACAUGUUUCAUUCUUUAUUGCAUGUUCGGGAUAUUUUAAUUUGUCUUAAUCUAACGUUGUGUUCUAGUUUUUUCCAAAACAUUGAUUUUACUCAAGAGUUAAAUGGAGUUGUUGUCUACAAAAUUU